RNAcentral lists this ribosomal RNA (448 nucleotides) under uncultured bacterium. Its description in RNAcentral is "partial 16S ribosomal RNA". It matches the Rfam family "Bacterial small subunit ribosomal RNA", at positions 329 to 793 of the family's 1533-position model. The record is from RNAcentral.
UGCCAGACUCCUACGGGAGGCAGCAGUGGGGAAUAUUGCACAAUGGAGGGAACCCUGAUGCAGCGACGCCGCGUGGGUGAAGGAGCGUUUCGGCGCGUAAAGCCCUAUCGGCAGGGAAGAAGGAGGACGGUACCUGACUAAGAAGCCCCGGCUAACUACGUGCCAGCAGCCGCGGUAAUACGUAGGGGGCAAGCGUUAUCCGGAUUUACUGGGUGUAAAGGGGGCGCAGACGGCAGCGCAAGCCAGGAGUGAAAGCCCGGGGCCCAACCCCGGGACUGCUCUUGGAACUGCGUGGCUGGAGUGCAGGAGGGGCAGGCGGAAUUCCUGGUGUAGCGGUGAAAUGCGUAGAUAUCAGGAGGAACACCGGUGGCGAAGGCGGCCUGCUGGACUGCAACUGACGUUGAGGCCCGAAAGCGUGGGGAGCAAACAGGAUUAGAUACCCGGGUAC